GAGGGUGUAGCUCAGUGGUGGAGCGCGUGCCUAGCGUGCAGGAGGGCCUGGGUUCAGUCUCCAGUACCUCCU
RNAcentral lists this transfer RNA (72 nucleotides) under Camelus bactrianus (Bactrian camel). It matches the Rfam family "tRNA". Rfam says of the family: Transfer RNA (tRNA) molecules are approximately 80 nucleotides in length. Their secondary structure includes four short double-helical elements and three loops (D, anti-codon, and T loops). Further hydrogen bonds mediate the characteristic L-shaped molecular structure. tRNAs have two regions of fundamental functional importance: the anti-codon, which is responsible for specific mRNA codon recognition, and the 3' end, to which the tRNAs corresponding amino acid is attached (by aminoacyl-tRNA synthetases). tRNAs cope with the degeneracy of the genetic code in two manners: having more than one tRNA (with a specific anti-codon) for a particular amino acid; and 'wobble' base-pairing, i.e. permitting non-standard base-pairing at the 3rd anti-codon position. The record is from Rfam by way of RNAcentral. RNAcentral also lists the same sequence under 1 other name. Lineage: Eukaryota; Metazoa; Chordata; Mammalia; Artiodactyla; Camelidae.